GACGAACGCUGGCGGCGUGCUUAACACAUGCAAGUCGAACGGAAAGGCCUGCUUUCCCUUGUGGAUUGCGGGUGCUCGAGUGGCGAACGGGUGGGUAACACGUGAGUGAUCUGCCCCCAACUUGGGUAUAAGCCUGGGAAACUGGGUCUAAUUCCCGAUAGGACUGCAGGGUGGUGCCUGUGGUGGAAAACGAUUUUCUAGUGGUUGGGGAUGAGCUCGCGGCCUAUCAGCUUGUUGGUGGGGUAAUGGCCUACCAAGGCGGCGACGGGUAGCCGGCCUGAGAGGGUGGACGGCCACAUUGGGACUGAGAUACGGCCCAGACUCCUACGGGAGGCAGCAGUGGGGAAUAUUGCACAAUGGGCGGAAGCCUGAUGCAGCGACGCCGCGUGGGGGAUGACGGCCUUCGGGUUGUAAACUCCUUUCGACCGCGAGGAAGCCACCUGGUUGGAAGGGUGGUGACGGUAGUGGUAGAAGAAGCACCGGCUAACUACGUG
RNAcentral lists this ribosomal RNA (494 nucleotides) under uncultured bacterium. Its description in RNAcentral is "partial 16S ribosomal RNA". It matches the Rfam family "Bacterial small subunit ribosomal RNA", at positions 28 to 507 of the family's 1533-position model. The record is from RNAcentral.